GAUGAACGCUAGCGACAGGCUUAACACAUGCAAGUCGAGGGGUAGCAGGGAUAAAGCUUGCUUUAUUUGCUGACGACCGGCGCACGGGUGAGUAACGCGUAUGCAACCUACCUAUCAGUAAGGGAUAGCCCAUUGAAAGAUGGAUUAAUACCUUAUAAAGCAGGGAUCCCGCAUGGGAAUAUUUGCUAAAGAUUUAUUGCUGAUAGAUGGGCAUGCGUUCCAUUAGUUAGUUGGUGAGGUAACGGCUCACCAAGACAUCGAUGGAUAGGGGUUCUGAGAGGCAGGUCCCCCACACUGGUAGUGGGACACGGACCAGACUCCUAGGGGAGGCAGCAGUGGGGAAUAUUGGUAAAUGGACGGAAGUCUGAACCAGCCAUGCCGCGUGCAGGAUGACGGCUCUAUGAGUUGUAAACUGCUUUUGUGUGGGAAUAAAAAAGGGAACGUGUUCCCUAUUGCAUGUACCACUAUGAAUAAGCAUCGGCUAACUCCGUGCCAGCCGCCGCAGUAACAC
RNAcentral lists this ribosomal RNA (511 nucleotides) under uncultured bacterium. Its description in RNAcentral is "bacterial SSU rRNA". It matches the Rfam family "Bacterial small subunit ribosomal RNA", at positions 28 to 526 of the family's 1533-position model. The record is from RNAcentral.